GACGAACGCUGGCGGCGUGCCUAAUACAUGCCAGUCGAACGGAAAGGCCCUGCUCUUGCGCGGUUCUCGAUUGGCGAACGCGUGAGUAACACGUGAGUAACCUGCCCUUGACUUUGUGAUAACUUCAGGAAACUGGGGCUAAUACCGGAUAGGAGCUCCUGCUGCAUGGUGGGGGUUGGAAAGUGUCGGCGGUUGGGGAUGGACUCGCAGCUUAUCAGCUUGUUGGUGAGGUAGUGGCUUACCAAGGCUUUGACGGGUAGCCGGCCUGGGAGGGUUACCAGGCUCAAUACGCCUAAGGUACGCACCAGAAUCGUACCUGCGGCAGCGGUGGGAAAUCUGACGGAGUAAGCGCACGUCAGAUACAGCGACGCUCCGUGCGGGAUACCCGCCUUCGAGUUAAGAACCACUUUCGACUGAGCUGAGCCGUGCUUGACGGUACUGGAUCAGAAAGCCACGGCUAACUACGUG
RNAcentral lists this ribosomal RNA (468 nucleotides) under uncultured bacterium. Its description in RNAcentral is "partial 16S ribosomal RNA". It matches the Rfam family "Bacterial small subunit ribosomal RNA", at positions 28 to 507 of the family's 1533-position model. The record is from RNAcentral.